AAAUUUAAAUAAUAAACUAGGAUUAGAUACCCUAUUAUUUUAAAUGUUAAUUAUAUUUACCAGGGUACUAUUAGUUAAGGUCUUUAAACCCAAAGAAUUUGGCGGUAUCUCAUUCCAUUCAGAGGAACCUACCCCGUGAUUGAUAAUACACGAUUUACUCUACUUAAUUUAUUUGUUUGUAUAUCUCCGUUAUCAGAGAAUCUUUUUAGAGUUAUAAUUCUCAAGAUUUAUAAUUAUAAAAUAUUUCAGGUCAAGGUGCAGCUUAUAGUUAAGAGGAGGUGGGUUACAAUAGGUUUUUGUUUAUAACGGAUUUGAUGGUGAAAUACURUUAAUGAAGGUGGAUUUGAUAGUAAUUUAAUUUAUUUAAUUUAACUGAUAUUGGCUCUGAGGUGUGUACACAUCGCCCGUCGCUCUCAUUAUUGAUUAUUCUAUUUUAUUAUUUUAAGGUAGCUUCAAUUAUAGAUGAGAUAAGUCGUAACAUAGUAGAUGUACUGGAAAGUGUAUCUAGUAAGAGUUU
This 517-nucleotide ribosomal RNA is filed under the name Schistocerca lineata (birdwing grasshopper). RNAcentral describes it as "partial 12S ribosomal RNA". It matches the Rfam family "Microsporidia small subunit ribosomal RNA". The record is from RNAcentral. Lineage: Eukaryota; Metazoa; Arthropoda; Insecta; Orthoptera; Acrididae.